CUACGGGCUGCUGCAGUGAGGAAUAUUGCGCAAUGGGGGAAACCCUGACGCAGCGACGCCGCGUGGAUGAUGAAGGCCUUCGGGUCGUAAAAUCCUGUCAGAAGGAAAGAAGUGUAUGGUAGCUAAUAUCUGCCAUACUUGACGGUACCUUCAAAGGAAGCACCGGCUACCUCCGUGCCAGCAGCCGCGGUAAUACGGAGGGUGCAAGCGUUGUUCGGAAUUACUGGGCAUAAAGCGCGCGUAGGCGGUUUUAUAAGUCAGAUGUGAAAGUCCACGGCUCAACCAUGGAAGUGCAUUUGAAACUGUAAGACUUGAGUAUUGGAGGGGGUAGUGGAAUUCCCGGUGUAGAGGUGAAAUUCGUAGAUAUCGGGAGGAAUACCGGUGGCGAAGGCGACUAUCUGGCCAAAUACUGACGCUGAGGUGCGAAAGCGUGGGGAGCAAACAGGAUUAGAUACCCCAGUAGUC
Molecule: ribosomal RNA, 465 nt
Filed under: uncultured bacterium
Lineage: Bacteria
Description: partial 16S ribosomal RNA
Rfam family: Bacterial small subunit ribosomal RNA
Source: RNAcentral